RNAcentral lists this ribosomal RNA (433 nucleotides) under uncultured bacterium. RNAcentral's name for it is "partial 16S ribosomal RNA". It matches the Rfam family "Bacterial small subunit ribosomal RNA", at positions 29 to 507 of the family's 1533-position model. The record is from RNAcentral.
AACGAACGCUGGCGGCAUGCCUAACACAUGCCAGUCGAACGAGACCUUCGGGUCUAGUGGCGCACGGGUGCGUAACGCGUGGGAAUCUGCCCUUCGGUUGGGAAUAACUGAGAGAAAUUUCAGCUAAUACCUUAUAAUGUCUUCGGACCAAAGAUUUAUCGCCGAGGGAUGAGCCCGCGUAGGAUUAGGUAGUUGGUGGGGUAAUGGCCUACCAAGCCGACGAUCCUUAGCUGGUCUGAGAGGAUGAUCAGCCACACUGGGACUGAGACACGGCCCAGACUCCUACGGGAGGCAGCAGUGGGGAAUAUUGGACAAUGGGCGAAAGCCUGAUCCAGCAAUGCCGCGUGUGUGAUGAAGGCCUUAGGGUUGUAAAGCUCUUUUACCCGGGAUGAUAAUGACAGUACCGGGAGAAUAAGCUCCGGCUAACUCCGUG